AGCAGCCGCGGUAAUUCCAGCUCCAAUAGCGUAUAUUAAAGUUGCUGCAGUUAAAAAGUUCGUAGUUGAAUUUCGGGACCAAUAUGUUGGUCGUGCCUCGGUACGUACUGGCAUCGUUGGUUUCUACCUUCUGACGAACCAUGAUGUCAUUCAUUUGGUGUCUUGGGAAAUCAGGACUGUUACUUUGAAAAAAUUAGAGUGUUUAAAGCAGGCUCACGCUUGAAUACAUUAGCAUGGAAUAAUGAAAUAGGACGCUUGAUUCUAUUUUGUUGGUUUCUAGGAUCGACGUAAUGAUUAAUAGGGAUAGUUGGGGGCAUUAGUAUUCAAUUGUCAGAGGUGAAAUUCUUGGAUUUAUUGAAGACUAACUACUGCGAAAGCAUUUGCCAAGGAUGUUUUCAUUAAUCAGGAACGAAAGUUAGGGGAUCGAAGACGAUCAGAUACCGUCGUAGUCUUAACCAUAAACUAUGCCGACUAGGGAUCGGAUGAUGUUAAUUUUUAAUGUACUCAUUCGGCGUACCCG
RNAcentral lists this ribosomal RNA (520 nucleotides) under uncultured Glomeromycotina. Its description in RNAcentral is "SSU rRNA". It matches the Rfam family "Eukaryotic small subunit ribosomal RNA", at positions 569 to 1089 of the family's 1831-position model. The record is from RNAcentral. Lineage: Eukaryota; Fungi; Glomeromycota.